Syngnathus acus (greater pipefish) is the source of this 1403-nucleotide long non-coding RNA. RefSeq lists it as uncharacterized. Lineage: Eukaryota; Metazoa; Chordata; Actinopteri; Syngnathiformes; Syngnathidae. The record is from RefSeq and is a predicted model, not a curated record. The transcript is spliced from 3 exons.
ACACGUAGAGGAGUACGUACCUCCGCCGCCAUUGGUAAAUAAAUACUAUCGUUUGUGCAGAGUAAACAGCAUUAGGACCCUCUAAAAUGGCAUGGACAAAGACAUGCUUGCAAGGCACAAUUAAAGCUUUUUGGAAAGCCAGGUUCAUUGCAGAAGAGCAACGUGACGACAAGACAAUGAGAGGGAACUUGGCAUGUUUAAUAGCGAACUUGCCCAACUGUUUAAUUUGGAUACAGCAAAUGAGGACUUGGACAGAUUUGCGUAUGAAUAUCGAGUAACAGUAAUGUGAGUACAGUAGAGUACAUGGUUAAACAGUAGAAUAAAGUACAACCGAACUCACUGUCUUGCUCCCGUGAUGUUUUUUUGUUUACCGUAAAUCAUGGCAUGCAUACGCCCUAUAAUGCGGUGCGCCCUAUGUGUGGAUUAAAUACAAAAUAAACCCCGCAAUUGAGUCUGCACCUUUUAACCUGAAGCGCCUUAUGGUGCAGAAAAUACGGUACUGUAUUGGUCCCUUUGAAUUGUAAAUGUCUUCUUUGUUCAGAUAGGUUAAUAGGCUAGACAUUUAGUGAGAAGAGAUUAAAUCGACUGAUGAAGAUUAAUAAUUGCACAAACUCCAGUUUCAUUUUUUGAUGGACAGCAACAAUAUUAUGAUUAAUUUGUUGAAUAUUUGUCAUGUGAUAUUUAUUUCCAGAUUAGUAGAUUGUUUUAUCAGAAAUCGUGAGAAUAAAGAAGGCAGUUUAAUUUGUAAGAUUGCAGCUGAAUGCCACUUUUAAGAGCCAACAAGAGAGAUCUUUGCAAGAGCAUCGAUGGUUCCUGAUUUCACAGUUUUUGAUUUGAUAUAUACCAGUUUAAUUCGGUUUAGCAGGGAUAUAGCAACCUAGAGAGAUUUAAAUUCAAAAGCAAAAUUUCAUUUUUAAUAUAUAUGUACAUACACAGGCUAACAUGAGGAUGGAAAAGAAAACUAGCUGAAAAAUGGCAUUUCAUCUACAGUUAGUACAAAAUGCUGCGGCGAGACUACUCACACGGAAGAGAAAAUAUGAUCACAUUACCCCAAUAUUAGUCAACUUACAUUGGCUCCCGGUUCAUUUAAGAUGUGACUUCAAGGUUCUUCUAUACCUGAGCCUCUGAGUGUCGCCCAUGUUGGCGUCCGAGGCCUGAACGCAGGUGACAAAGUGUCCCGGCGGCGCCAGCUGGCUGACAAAGGCCUCGUAGAGUGUCCGGCUGAAGUCGGGCGGGUUGUCGUUGGUGUCGGCCACUCCCACCGUGAUGCUGACGAUGCUGCUGAGCGCCGGAUCGCCCCGUUUGUCGCACGCACCACAAAAUUGAAGCGCAGCCUGCGCUCGUAGUCAAGCAGCCGCACCGUCAGCAACAGGCCGCUGUUGUGAUCCAUGUGGAAGUAGUCG